This 58-nucleotide transfer RNA is filed under the name Versteria mustelae. RNAcentral's name for it is "tRNA-Ser". The record is from RNAcentral. Lineage: Eukaryota; Metazoa; Platyhelminthes; Cestoda; Cyclophyllidea; Taeniidae.
ACCUAUGAUUAUAUUUGAUUUGAAAUCAAAUUUAUUGUUUUUACUAACAACGUUGGUU